AUUGAACGCUGGCGGCAGGCUUUACACAUGCAAGUCGGACGAGUGGCGAACGGGUGAGUAAUAUAUCGGAACGUACCGAGUAAUGGGGGAUAACUAAUCGAAAGAUUAGCUAAUACCGCAUAUUAUUCGAGCGGCCGAUAUGGGAUUAGCUAGUUGGUGGGGUAAAGGCCUACCAAGGCGACGAUCAAUAGCGGGUCUGAGAGGAUGAUCCGCCACACUGGAACUGAGACGCGGUCCAGACUCCUAAGGGAGGCAGCAGUGGGUGAUAUUGGACAAUGGGCGAGAGCCUGAUGCAGCCAUGCGGCGUGUGUGAAGAAGGCCUUCGGGUUGUAAAGGACUUUUGUCAGGGAAGCGGUACCGGGAGAAUAAGCACCGGCUAACUACGUGCCAGCCGCCGCGGUAAUUC
This 406-nucleotide ribosomal RNA is filed under the name uncultured bacterium. RNAcentral describes it as "partial 16S ribosomal RNA". It matches the Rfam family "Bacterial small subunit ribosomal RNA", at positions 30 to 526 of the family's 1533-position model. The record is from RNAcentral.